AAGAGCACGACAUUGCUCACAUUGCUUCCAGUAUUGUUGCCCGCCUUAAUGGCGGGCUUUUUUU
RNAcentral lists this non-coding RNA (64 nucleotides) under Pantoea sp. JKS000250. The record is from RNAcentral. Lineage: Bacteria; Pseudomonadati; Pseudomonadota; Gammaproteobacteria; Enterobacterales; Erwiniaceae.